Molecule: long non-coding RNA, 550 nt
Organism: Pomacea canaliculata
Lineage: Eukaryota; Metazoa; Mollusca; Gastropoda; Architaenioglossa; Ampullariidae
Exons: 4
Source: RefSeq, a predicted model, not a curated record
GUGAAGCCAUUUUCUCUCACUUGUGACUGUCGUCUGCGUCUGGUCGGUUGCGAUGGCCUGCCCUUGCUUCUGGAGACUGUUACAUGCCAUGCCAGAGAAACGCAAUAUAUACAGCCCUUGAUCCGUAAUAACCAAGAGAACAUUUACGUCUGCUACAUGUCGGAAGCAACUAAAGGAAACCGUAUAAGAAAUGUGAAGAAUGAAAGAUGAAGAUCCUGCUUCCCAGACGUGGUCCUACCCACAACAAGGAAAUCGAGAGGACCCCUCGAGGAUACAGAAAGGACAAAUAACAUACCAGAAUGAAUUCGGCGCGAUCCAUCAUUCGUCGGACGAUGAAAACUGCGUCUAACCCGGAUCUCCGUCUCCAUUCCGCUCCCGACCAAUCGGAGGUGAAGUUUGUCCGGCAUGUCAAUGGAGCGCUUGUGCCUGACAUCGUUACUUUCCAAGAAAGGAAACCACGCAGAAUGUUUCUGGGACACCUACCUGAGCUGCCUCCGUGAGCAGGAAAGGCGUCACACAGCGACACGAGCGUCACGACCAUCGCAGCGAA